GAUGAUCUAGCUCAGUCUGGUAGAGCACCGGCGAAAGCCGGUUGUCGUGGGUUCGACUCCCACGAUCAUCC
This 71-nucleotide transfer RNA is filed under the name Betaproteobacteria bacterium. RNAcentral's name for it is "tRNA-OTHER". It matches the Rfam family "tRNA". Rfam says of the family: Transfer RNA (tRNA) molecules are approximately 80 nucleotides in length. Their secondary structure includes four short double-helical elements and three loops (D, anti-codon, and T loops). Lineage: Bacteria; Pseudomonadati; Pseudomonadota; Betaproteobacteria. The record is from RNAcentral.